UUGCAAAUGGAGGAUUGGCGGGAGAUUCCGUCCUGAUCCGUUCCGAAUGAGACAGCAAAUAAGAACAAAACAAAGGAUGGGGGUAAAAAAUGGAAUGAAUUUUAUGACUUAAAAGACGGAUUUGGAAUAGAAAAAACAUGAAAAAUCUUGACCCGCGCUGAAUAUACUCCGCCGUGAUCGGCCUCAAAAGUGUUUACAUUUUUAAAAAGAGUUAAUUGCAUAUAGCUCUCUAUACAUAUCGAAUAAUAAAUAUAUUCAUACAAAGGUUUUCCUGCACAAGUUCAAACUUUUUUAAAUAUACCUCUACGGUUAAAAUCUAUUAAAAAAAAUAUAGUUAAUCAUAAAUAAAAUAAUUAAUAUUGGUUAGCGAGUGAGGUAAAUUGACCUUUUUACCCCUCUUAUAUUAUUUGUGACGAUAGAAAAAAAGAAAAUGAACAUUAGAGAUUUUGGAAGAAUAUUUCUGUAUAAUGUUAAUAGUUGGGACUUUUGAAAGGACAUUUUUGUGAUGGCAAAAAUAUUAUUUCGCUAAUUUUUUUAAAAAUUAAAUAAUGUCCUAACGGUAACAAACUAGAGAGGCGAAUAUGAAUAUUACUGGACUUUUGUAGGAACAAAUAUAAAAGUUAAACAGCCAAUCGAAAUGUAUUAAAAAUUUAAUUUUAUUUUUUUAUUUAUUGCA
RNAcentral lists this long non-coding RNA (676 nucleotides) under Ananas comosus (pineapple). RNAcentral describes it as "long non-coding RNA (ACOM_LNC031183)". Lineage: Eukaryota; Viridiplantae; Streptophyta; Magnoliopsida; Poales; Bromeliaceae. The record is from RNAcentral.